This 492-nucleotide ribosomal RNA is filed under the name uncultured bacterium. Its description in RNAcentral is "partial 16S ribosomal RNA". It matches the Rfam family "Bacterial small subunit ribosomal RNA", at positions 30 to 507 of the family's 1533-position model. The record is from RNAcentral.
AUUGAACGCUGGCGGCAUGCUUUACACAUGCAAGUCGAACGGUAACAGGCCUUCGGGUGCUGACGAGUGGCGAACGGGUGCGUAAUGCAUCGGAACGUGCCCAGAGGUGGGGGAUAACGCAGCGAAUGCUGUGCUAAUACCGCAUGUGAUCUGAGGAUGAAAGCGGGGGACCAAGCAGCAAUGUUUGGCCUCGCGCCUCUGGAGCGGCCGAUGUCAGAUUAGGUAGUUGGUGGGGUAAAGGCCUACCAAGCCGACGAUCUGUAGCUGGUCUGAGAGGGCGACCAGCCACACUGGAACUGAGACACGGCCCAGACUCCUACGGGAGGCAGCAGUGGGGAAUUUUGGACAAUGGGCGCAAGCCUGAUCCAGCAAUGCCGCGUGCGGGAAGAAGGCCUUCGGGUUGUAAACCGCUUUUGUACGGAACGAAAAGGCUCUGGCUAAUACCUGGGGCUGAUGACGGUACCGUAAGAAUAAGCACCGGCUAACUACGUG